UUAAUUUGAUCAUGGCUCAAUUGCNACGCUGGUUAGCUGCCUAACACAUGCAAGUCGAACGGUAACAGGUCCUUCGGGAUGCUGACGAGUGGCGGACGGGUGCGUAACGCGUGGGAAUCUGCCCAAUAGUGGGGGAUAACCCGGGGAAACCCGGGCUAAUACCGCAUACUCCCUACGGGGGAAAGCGGGGGACCGCAAGGCCUCGCGCUAUUGGAUGAGCCCGCGUCCGAUUAGCUUGUUGGUGGGGUAAAAGCCUACCAAGGCGACGAUCGGUAGCUGGUCUGAGAGGACGACCAGCCACACUGGGACUGAGACACGGCCCAGACUCCUACGGGAGGCAGCAGUGGGGAAUAUUGGACAAUGGGGGAAACCCUGAUCCAGCAAUGCCGCGUGUGUGAAGAAGGCCUACGGGUUGUAAAGCACUUUCGGCAGGAAAGAAAAGCCAUGCGCUAAUACCGUAUGACCUUGACGUUACCUGCAAAAGAAGGAACGGGUUACUCCGUGCCAGCAGCCGCGGUAAUACGGAGGGUGCAAGGCGUUAAUCGGAAUUACUGGGCGUAAACGCGCACGUANGCGGACGACUAAGGUCGGAUGUGAAAUUCCUGGGGCUUUAAACCNUGGGGA
This 624-nucleotide ribosomal RNA is filed under the name uncultured bacterium. RNAcentral describes it as "bacterial SSU rRNA". It matches the Rfam family "Bacterial small subunit ribosomal RNA", at positions 1 to 621 of the family's 1533-position model. The record is from RNAcentral.